RNAcentral lists this ribosomal RNA (3789 nucleotides) under Candidatus Fraserbacteria bacterium. RNAcentral describes it as "23S ribosomal RNA". It matches the Rfam family "Bacterial large subunit ribosomal RNA". The record is from RNAcentral. Lineage: Bacteria; Candidatus Fraseribacteriota.
GCAAGCUCAGUACGGGCGGAUGGUGGAUGCCUCGGCAGCUGGAGGCGAUGAAGGGCGUGGCAGACUGCGAUAAGCCACGGGGAGCCGUCGAGCAGGCGUUGAUCCGUGGAUUCCCGAAUGGGGUAAACCCACCGCACGGAAGGUGCGGUAUCCCUCCCUGAAUCCAUAGGGGAGGGAGGCGAACCCGGGGAAGUGAAGCAUCUCAGUACCCGGAGGAAGAGAAAUCAAAAGAGACAAAGCUAUCUUCCCUGCGCUCUCUCGAGCGUAGCGAAGAUGGCUUUGGAGAUUCCGUCAGUAGCGGCGAGCGAACGCGGAAGAGCCUAAACCGUGCACACGUAGAAGACUGCCCUCGUUGUGUGCGCGGGGUUGCAGGCCGGCCCAUCCACGGGGGGCAGCCCGUGGCAGAGGUCACAAAGAUUGGCUCUAGCCGAACAGCUAGUAAAGCCACUGGAAAGAGCGACCAGAGAGGGUGAUAGUCCCGUAGGCGAAAGGGUCAGUCCCUCUGGGGCCGUGCCUAAGUAGCGUCGUACCCGUGUUACGGCGUGAAGCUGGGAGGACCACCUUCCAAGGCUAAAUACUACCAGCUGACCGAUAGUGGACCAGUACCGCGAGGGAACGGUGAAAAGAACCCCGGAAGGGGAGUGAAAGAGAACCUGAAACCAUCCGCUCACAGACAGUCGGAGGGUCCCGCCGACCCUUUGCCCUGGGCAUCGCAAGAUGCCCAACGGCAGAGCCGGCGGCCUGACGGCAUGCCUUUUGCAGUAUGAUCCUGCGAGCUACCGUGCGUGGCCAGGCUAAGCCUCGUCGGUGGGGCGCAGCCGUAGCGAAAGCGAGUCCGAAUAGGGCGACAAGUCACGUGCGGUAGGCACGAAGCCGAGCGAUCUACCCAUGGCCAGGCUGAAACCGAGGUAACACUCGGUGGAGGGCCGAACCCGUGAACGUGGAAUAGUUCUGGGAUGAGCUGUGGGUAGCGGUGAAAAGCCAGACGGGCCUCGGUGAUAGCUUGUUCUCCUCGAAAUAGUUUUAGGACUAGCCUCGGCCGUUAAGCCGUGGGGGUAGAGCCACUGGAUGGAUGCGGGGCAACCCAAUUCCAACCAAACUCCGAAUACCACGGCGCAUCGGCCGGGAGUCAGACGGCGGGGGAUAACCUCCGUCGUCGAGAGGGAAACGGCCCAGAUCGUCGGCUAAGGCCCCAAAGCCCGAGCUAAGUCAGGAAGGAUGUGUUCCCGCCCAGACAGCUGGGAGGUUGGCUUAGAAGCAGCCAUCCUUUAAAGAGUGCGUAAUAGCUCACCAGUCGAGCGGGAAUGCGCCCAAGAUUCAGCGGGAGUCAAGCUCGGCGCCGAAGCCACGGGAGAGCUCCAUGGUGCGCCCUGGAGCUACGGUAGAGGAGCAUUCCGCUUUAGGCUGAAGUCGUGGCGGAAGCCACGGCGGACGAAGCGGAAGAGAGAAUGCAGGAAUGAGUAGCGCGAGGUGAGUGAGAACCUCACCCACCGAAUGCCUAAGGGUUCCUGGGGAAGGCUCAUCCACCCAGGGUUAGGCGGCCCUAAGCUCAACCCGCAAGGGGUAGGCGAUGGAGAGCCGGUUAAUAUUCCGGCCCCUCUCUGCGGCGCUGACCAAGGGGGGACGCAUCAGGUCGCUUCAGCGGGCGGACGGAUGUGCCCGUGCCUAAGGCGAGGCGUCUGGCUGUAGGCAAAUCCGCAGCCAGGUCAAGUCGAGCCGCGGCGGAGGUCCUACGGGACCGAAGGAAGAGCGAUCAGGUGCCGAGAAAAUCCUCUAGGGAGCCGCAGAGAGCCCGUACCGCAAUCCGACACAGGUAGGCGGGCAGAGGAUGCUCAGGUGGGCGAGAGAACCAUGGUCAAGGAACUCGGCAAAAUGCUCCCGUACGUUCGCAAGAAGGGAGGCCCCGCGUAGGGCCGCAAGGUCCGAGGGGGUCGCAGAGAGCAGGCUGGGGGGACUGUUUAUCAAAAACACAGCACCCUGCUAACUCGAAAGAGGACGUAUAGGGUGUGAGACCUGGCCACUGCUGGAAGGUCAAGGGGAGGGGUGCAAGCCCCAAACUGAAGCCCCAGCGAAGGCCGGCCGUAACUAUAACUCUGACCGUUGUAGUUACGUAAAUAAACCCGACUAUAUGCGGGAAAGUCCGGGGUAUCCGGCGGUACUCGCUCUCCCCCAAAGAGCAGUAACAAUCCGACCGGUGCGGACAAUCCGCAGGAAAGGCCUUGGCCGUGCCUAGAGAGGAGGCACUAUGAGGGCAGUCAGAAAAGUCCCUCCUCACAUCGGGUGGUAUCUUGCUGGGUUUGCUGACGGCGAGGGAAGCUUCAACGUCGUCUUCAGACCGCGCAAAGAUUACCACAUUCCGUGGAAGAUCUCCCUGUGCUUUAACAUUUCGCAGCGCGACCGCGUCAUCUUAGCGCUCUUUAAGCGCUAUUUGGGAUGCGGCACGAUGCGCCAGCGCCAGGAUGGCGUCUGGUACUACGAAGUCAAUAACCUCAACGCGAUCUUGCAGAAUGUCAUCCCGUUCUUCAAGAGAUUCAAGUUUCUCUCGGCGAAGAAGAAGCGGGACUUCUCAAAAUUCUGCCAGAUCGCGGAGCUCAUACAGCAGGGAGCGCACCUUCACCAAGAGGGAAUCACGCGCAUUUUAGAAAUUCGUCGCGAUAUGAACGACGGUGGUAACCGUCGCUAUAGCGAUGAAGAGAUCAUGGCACGGCUCGAGGAAUCCUCAGAGACCAUACGUCGGGCGCCCCAAAAGGGUGAUGAUAUGGUCCGGUCUCCGUAGCGAUACGGAGGGCUCGUAAGAGCCGCACCUGCUUCGGCAGUGUGCAACAGAGACAAACGGUCCUAAGGUAGCGAAAUUCCUUGUCGGGUAAGUUCCGACGCGCAUGAAUGGUAUAACCACUCCAGCGCUGUCUUGACCAUGGGCUCGGUGAAAUUGAAGCACCGGUGAAAACGCCGGUGACUCGCGGCAGGACGGAAAGACCCCGUGGAGCUUUACUGGAGCUUGGCAUUGGGUCUCGACGGGUGUUGUGUAGGAUAGGUGGGAGCCGGAGAAGUCUCCGCGCUAGCGGGGAUGGAGGCGUCCUUGAAAUACCACCCUUCGCCCGUUGCGGCUCUAACCGACGGCCGUACAGCGGUCGCGGGACCGUGCUAGGCGGACAGUUUAACUGGGGUGGUUGCCUCCUAAAGAGUAACGGAGGCGCGCAAAGGUCGGCUCAGCCGGGUUGGCGAUCCGGCGGGGAGUGCAUGGGCACAAGCCGGCUUGACUGUGACCCCGACAGGGGGAACAGGUGCGAAAGCAGGCCCAAGUGACCCGGUGGCUCUGCGUGGAAGGGCCAUCGAUCAUCGGAUAAAAGUUACCCCGGGGAUAACAGGCUAGUACCGCCCGAGAGUACACAUCGACGGCGGUGUUCGGCACCUCGAUGUCGGCUCAACUCAUCCUGGGGCUGAAGCAGGUCCCAAGGGUCCGUCUGUUCGCCGGUUAAAGAGUUACGUGAGCUGGGUUCAGACCGUCGCAAGACAGGUCGGUCCAUAUCCGCCGCGAGCGCAAGAGGCUUGAGGGGCGCUCUCCCUAGUACGAGAGGACCGGGAGGGCUGGACCGCUGGUGUACCAGCUGUCCUGCCAAGGGCACCGCUGGGUAGCUAGGUCCGGACGGGAUAAGCGCUGAAGGCAUCUAAGCGCGAAGCCCACCCCAAGAUGAGGCCUCUGAGAGCCCUGGGAGAACACCAGGUUGAUAGGCCGCAGGUGUACGCAGAGCAAUCUGCUCAGCCGAGCGGUCCUAAUCGCUCCGUCGU